Molecule: ribosomal RNA, 917 nt
Filed under: Listeria monocytogenes
Lineage: Bacteria; Bacillati; Bacillota; Bacilli; Caryophanales; Listeriaceae
Description: bacterial LSU rRNA
Rfam family: Bacterial large subunit ribosomal RNA
Source: RNAcentral
CUGAGUACGGCGGAACACGUGAAAUUCCGUCGGAAUCCGGGAGGACCAUCUCCCAAGGCUAAAUACUCCCUAGUGACCGAUAGUGAACCAGUACCGUGAGGGAAAGGUGAAAAGCACCCCGGAAGGGGAGUGAAACAGUUCCUGAAACCGUGUGCCUACAAGUAGUUAGAGCCCGUUAAUGGGUGAUAGCGUGCCUUUUGUAGAAUGAACCGGCGAGUUACGAUUUGUUGCAAGGUUAAGCGGAAAAAGCGGAGCCGUAGCGAAAGCGAGUCUGAAUAGGGCGCAUAAGUAACAGGUCGUAGACCCGAAACCAGGUGAUCUACCCAUGUCCAGGAUGAAGGUAAGGUAAUACUUACUGGAGGUCCGAACCCACGCACGUUGAAAAGUGCGGGGAUGAGGUGUGGGUAGCGGAGAAAUUCCAAUCGAACUUGGAGAUAGCUGGUUCUCUCCGAAAUAGCUUUAGGGCUAGCCUCGAGGUAAAGAGUCAUGGAGGUAGAGCACUGUUUGGACUAGGGGCCCUUCUCGGGUUACCGAAUUCAGAUAAACUCCGAAUGCCAUGUACUUAUACUCGGGAGUCAGACUGCGAGUGAUAAGAUCCGUAGUCGAAAGGGAAACAGCCCAGACCACCAGUUAAGGUCCCCAAAUAUAUGUUAAGUGGAAAAGGAUGUGGGGUUGCUUAGACAACCAGGAUGUUGGCUUAGAAGCAGCCACCAUUGAAAGAGUGCGUAAUAGCUCACUGGUCGAGUGACCCCGCGCCGAAAAUGUACCGGGGCUAAACAUAUUACCGAAACUGUGGAUGAACCUCUUUAGAGGUUCGUGGUAGGAGAGCGUUCUAAGGGCGGUGAAGUCAGACCGGAAGGACUGGUGGAGCGCUUAGAAGUGAGAAUGCCGGUAUGAGUAGCGAAAGAAGGGUGAGA